RNAcentral lists this transfer RNA (63 nucleotides) under Micrarchus sp. n. 2 LTD-2014. Its description in RNAcentral is "tRNA-Leu". Lineage: Eukaryota; Metazoa; Arthropoda; Insecta; Phasmatodea; Diapheromeridae. The record is from RNAcentral.
UAAUAUGGCAGAUUAGUGCAAUAGAUUUAAGCCCUAUAAAUAAAGUAACCACUUUUAUUAGAA